AAUAUUGCACAAUGGGGGAAACCCUGAUGCAGCGACGCCGCGUGAGCGAAGAAGGCCUNCGGGUCNUNAAGCUCUGUCCUAAGGGNCGAAAAGGACGGUACCUUAGGAGGAAGCCCCGGCUAACUACGUGCCAGCAGCCGCGGUAAUACGUAGGGGGCGAGCGUUAUCCGGAAUUACUGGGCGUAAAGGGUGCGGAGGCGGCUUUUUAAGUCAGAUGUGAAAUAGUACGGCUUAACCGUAUUUAGCAUAUGAAACUAAGAAGCUUGAGGACAGGAGAGGAGAGUGGAAUUCCUAGUGUAGCGGUGAAAUGCGUAGAUAUUAGGAGGAACACCAGUGGCGAAGGCGACUCUCUGGACUGCAACUGACGCUGAGGCACGAAAGCGUGGGUAGCGAACAGG
RNAcentral lists this ribosomal RNA (398 nucleotides) under uncultured bacterium. RNAcentral's name for it is "partial 16S ribosomal RNA". It matches the Rfam family "Bacterial small subunit ribosomal RNA", at positions 360 to 776 of the family's 1533-position model. The record is from RNAcentral.